RNAcentral lists this ribosomal RNA (245 nucleotides) under uncultured bacterium. RNAcentral's name for it is "partial 16S ribosomal RNA". It matches the Rfam family "Bacterial small subunit ribosomal RNA", at positions 524 to 768 of the family's 1533-position model. The record is from RNAcentral.
UACGAAGGGUGCAAGCGUUGUUCGGAUUUAUUGGGCGUAAAGGGCGCGCAGGCGGGACGAUAAGUCAGGUGUGAAAUCUCGGGGCCCAACCCCGAAACUGCGCCUGAAACUGUUGUUCUAGAAUCUUGGAGAGGGAGAGAGAAUAUCGCAUGUAGGGGUAAAAUCCGUAGAGAUGCGAUGGAAUAUCGGAGGCGAAGGCGCUUUCCUGGACAAGUAUUGACGCUGAGGCGCGAGAGCGUGGGGAG